RNAcentral lists this long non-coding RNA (1335 nucleotides) under Trifolium pratense (red clover). Its description in RNAcentral is "long non-coding RNA (TPRA_LNC003673)". The record is from RNAcentral. Lineage: Eukaryota; Viridiplantae; Streptophyta; Magnoliopsida; Fabales; Fabaceae.
AGAAUAGUCCCAUACAUUGUAUGUUUAGUUUCACAAUAGUGUCAAAAUUGAUUUAAUCUUCUGACAAACCAAUUUUGGUGAAAAUGCAGGGUUUUUUGGUUAUCAUAAUUUUGCAUCUAAGGUGAGGACAGGCUAUAUCUCAUCUAUUGUGGGACUUCUAGACGCAUACCCCCUCAUGUGUAGGACGAUACAUGUACGAUAGGGGUGGUGAAAUAAUGAAUCGUAGUCUCCAACACCGUCUUAAAAUUUCAGCUGAGCUUAACUCAAUCGAACAAAAUCAACUUGUAAGGUGAUGAUAGGUAAUGACAUCAAACACAUUAGAAGUUAGAUUACCCAUGGAAGAACUUUUUUUAUUGUUGCUUUCUUUAGAAAUUUUGGAAGAACUUAGUUCAGAAAAUUGAAUUGAGCUAUUCAAGCUAGUUCUUUGCUUUAUGAAGAAGAGUAUAAAAGACUGAGCUGAGCCUGAUUUGCAAAAGCAUAAUCAACAAGUACACUUGACUCAUUUUCUACUUUAAUUAACUAUGAUGCAACAUUUUUCCUGAUAUAGCAGCAGCUAGUGCUGCUCUGAAGUUAAGAUCCUUGGUCAAUGAAGUAACCAUCUGUUCCACCAAAAUCUGAAGUACUUCCAUUUUGGGAUUAUUAUCAUAUUCUCACUUCUCAGUAGUCUCGUAGCUGCACGCUGCUGUUAGAUUUUCUCCACUGAUAUCCAUCUUUCACAAUCUAAAAUUUAACACAAAAUGUAAAAACAAAAUCACUCACAAAAAUCAUACCUAAAUGGCUUUUCAAAUUAAUUAAGAGAAUGAAUCUUGCAAGGCUUGAAUCAGAUGCUUCUGCUUGAAAUAAACUCUUGAGACUUUUUAGCCUUUAUGCAGGUUUCUAAUCCCUUGGUUUCUUGCAUGACUGAUCUUCAUCACUUGAGCUGCUUUCAGAGUUGUUAUCAUUAACUCCCCCUUCCAUUAGAUUACUGUUACUGCUUAUUUCAUCAGAUUUCCUGUCUUCAUUCCUGUCAACUUCUUGUUUUCUGCACUUCACUGAAAUAUUGUUUCCAUUAAUUUAAAUUUUUACUGAUACACUGAACAUUAAAGUAAUGGGCUCAUCAACAACAACAGUUCAGGAUAUCAAAUUCUGAUGUUUCUCUUCCCACCCCCCAAAUUUCUCUUUUCGCGUAGAAAAUUUCGAAAAACAUUUUCCGAAAAUUUCUGCAUGUUUUGCGCGAGAAGAUAAAUUUGGGGGUGGGAAGAGAAAACAUCUCAAGUUCCUUCUUUCUUAUUCAGAACAUAAAAUAUUGCAUAUUACAGUCACAACUCAUUUUCAAAGACAAUUGAAAUUCCUAAA